UACUCGAGUGGCGAACGGGUGAGUAACACGUGGGUGAUCUGCCCUGCACUUCGGGAUAAGCUUGGGAAACUGGGUCUAAUACCGGAUAGGAGCCAUCUUUGGUGUGGUGGUUGGAAAGUUUUUUCGGUGUAGGAUGAGCUCGCGGCCUAUCAGCUUGUUGGUGGGGUAAUGGCCUACCAAGGCGGCGACGGGUAGCCGGCCUGAGAGGGUGUACGGCCACAUUGGGACUGAGAUACGGCCCAG
RNAcentral lists this ribosomal RNA (243 nucleotides) under uncultured Actinomycetales bacterium. RNAcentral describes it as "partial 16S ribosomal RNA". It matches the Rfam family "Bacterial small subunit ribosomal RNA", at positions 88 to 334 of the family's 1533-position model. The record is from RNAcentral. Lineage: Bacteria; Bacillati; Actinomycetota; Actinomycetes; Actinomycetales.